RNAcentral lists this ribosomal RNA (318 nucleotides) under uncultured bacterium. RNAcentral describes it as "bacterial SSU rRNA". It matches the Rfam family "Bacterial small subunit ribosomal RNA", at positions 28 to 334 of the family's 1533-position model. The record is from RNAcentral.
GACGAACGCUGGCGGCGGGCCUAACACAUGCAAGUCGAACGAGCAGUCAGUCAAAGCUUCGGUUUAGAUUGGCGGGCGAGUGGCGAACGGGUGCGUAACACGUAGGUAACCUGCCCUCGAGAGGGGAACAACCAUUGGAAACGAUGGCUAACACCGCAUAAAGUCCCAGUUGCGCAUGCAACAGGGAUGAAAACUCCGGUGCUCGAGGAUGGGCCUGCGGCGGAUUAGGAAGUUGGUGAGGUAACGGCUCACCAAUCCUGCGAUCCGUAGCUGGUCUGAGAGGAUGAUCAGCCACACUGGCACUGGGACACGGGCCAG